CAAUAGCGUAUAUUAAAGUUGUUGCAGUUAAAAAGCUCGUAGUUGGAUUUCUGACAGGAGCGACCGGUCUCGAGCUUCAUGUUCGUUGCACUUGUGUCCGUCUCUAGUCAUCCUUAUGGAGAACGUGUGUGUCAUUAAGUUGACGUGCAUGGGAACCAUAUCGUUUACUGUGAAAAAAUUAGAGUGUUUAAAGCAGGCAAUCGCUGUGAAUACAUUAGCAUGGAAUAAUAAGAUAGGACUUUGGUACUAUUUUGUUGGUUUGCAUACCAAGGUAAUGAUUAAGAGGGACAGUUGGGGGUAUUCGUAUUUACAUGUCAGAGGUGAAAUUCUUGGAUUUUGGAAAGACGAACUACUGCGAAAGCAUUUACCAAGGAUGUUUUCAUUAA
Molecule: ribosomal RNA, 386 nt
Filed under: uncultured eukaryote
Lineage: Eukaryota
Description: partial 18S ribosomal RNA
Rfam family: Eukaryotic small subunit ribosomal RNA
Source: RNAcentral